GACGAACGCUGGCGGCGUGCUUAACACAUGCAAGUCGAACGGAAAGGCCCUGCUUGUGUGGGGUGCUCGAGGGGCGAACGGGUGAGUAACACGUGAGUAACCUGCCCUUGACGUUGGGAUAACUUCAGGAAACUGGGGCUAAUACCGGAUAGGAGCUCCUGCUGCAUGGUGGGGGUUGGAAAGUUUCGGCGGUUGGGGAUGGACUCGCGGCUUAUCAGCUUGUUGGUGGGGUAGUGGCUUACCAAGGCUUUGACGGGUAGCCGGCCUGGGAGGGUGACCGGCCACAUUGGGCCUGCGAUACGGCCCAGACUCCUACGGGAGGCAGCAGUGGGGAAUAUUGCCCAAUGGGCGGAAGCCUGAUGCAGCAACGCCGCGUGCGGGAUGACGGCCUUCGGGUUGUAAACCGCUUUCGCCUGUGACGAAGCGUGAGUGACGGUAAUGGGUAAAGAAGCACCGGCUAACUACGUG
This 468-nucleotide ribosomal RNA is filed under the name uncultured bacterium. RNAcentral describes it as "partial 16S ribosomal RNA". It matches the Rfam family "Bacterial small subunit ribosomal RNA", at positions 28 to 507 of the family's 1533-position model. The record is from RNAcentral.